This is a long non-coding RNA of Mytilus californianus (California mussel), 1516 nucleotides long. RefSeq lists it as uncharacterized. The transcript is spliced from 3 exons. NCBI's taxonomy places the organism in Eukaryota, Metazoa, Mollusca, Bivalvia, Mytilida, Mytilidae. The record is from RefSeq and is a predicted model, not a curated record.
CUAUUCCUACAUGGAUAUUUUACAAAUGACAUCCCUUAUUGCAAAAUGUAGGAAUAGGAGGAAAAAACCAUAAAAUUGUAGAUAAAGGCCAAAUAAUUACUCUUUUCUAAAGUUAUAUCUUCAGGCUACAAACAGGACAGAUCUCAUAGAUUUAUGUAAGUUAAUACGAAUUGUAAACAAGCGAGUGUGUCCUCCUGAACAGAUUUAAAUUGUGUGUUUGUUGUUGUAUAUAUUGAGGACAUCAUCUAAAUAUAUUCGUCUUGCCGUUUGGAAAUCUGCUUGAGCAAGGUGUUUUUAAGUAGUAACUGGUCAAAAAUAAAUUGUGCCUUGGAAUAUCAAACCACUAAUCGGAACAGAUUUUGCAGACCAAACAGUCCAUUAUUUUGUUAUGGUAUACUUCAGUGCAAGGUUUUUGUUACUGCAAUCCGUGUGAUCUAAACAAAUAUUUUUUUUCUAAACCUACAACAACUUUUUGAUUAUUAUUAUCAUGAACGGGAAAACUCGGUCACGAAACUAUCAUGUGGAAGUAUUUUGGCGCUUGCCUUCUUGACUAAUCUUAGCUAAAAUAAUAUUACGAGCUACCGAACAAGGUCGUUUAGGUAUUUAAAUUAUUUUGUGUGGACGACAUCAACAUCUGACAAUGGGGUUAUUUGAAGGAAUUUCGAAAUUUGCUCUUGUAUCAGCAAUUUUGACUGCUGUUGGAUUUAUUGUACACUUGAUCGGUUAUGGCGCACCGUACUGGAUUAAGUCUGGACUUUUUCAUUCUGGACUUUGGAAAAGUUGCAUUGACAGCAUAUGUGGGGACUUUGUUGGUAGUUCAUUCCUUCCAGCAUGGUUAGAGGCAGCCCAAGCCAUCGAGACAAUUGCCUUUCUAGCAAUACUUGCUGCACUCAUCGUUAUGGGACUAAAACUUACAGUCAUGAAAGAGCAGAAGAUAUUGCCAAUUUUCAUCUUUAUACUUCAGUUUGCUUCAGUUGGUCUGAUCCUUCUAGGUGUGAUCAUUUAUGGUGCCGAAAUGUCUUCAGCUAGCUAUGGAUUCGCGUUUAUUUUUGUGAUUAUAGCUUCGAUUAUAAUGCUUGUCGCUGGAGUCUUCAGUUUCUUGGAUUGGAGAGGCUCUUCUUCACCUGUAUAAACAGUAGUACAAUCGAAACAAGCAUUGCACGUUGCAUUCAUUAGGAUUCAGUAUAUUGUAAUUGAGCUUCCGAGUAUAUUGUUACAGGCUUUAGAUAUUAAUCUUGCUAUUACAAACUAGACUGAGUGUAAAGCAGAAACAUAUUCACCUAAUAACCAUGUUAUAUUGCCUUGAAUGCUCCAAAUAAAUGAGAAAUUAAAAAUUAAAGAGUCAUGAAAGCUCGUAAAACAAAGAAUUUCGAUUUUCCACCAUGUCGAUUGAAUCAAUAUCUAAAAAACCGAUGAAGCAAAACUUUCUCAUUUACAUAAUCAGUAAAAUACUAACAGCCAGCUUUAGAAUUAGUCAGUUAUAUCAUUAUGUAUAAAUAAAAAAAUAUGAAACAUG